GCCAGGUGCAGUGGCCCACGCCUGUAAUCCCAGUGCCUUGGGAGGCUGAGGCAGGAGGAUCUCGAGUUCAAAGCCAGCCUCAGCAAAAACAAGGUACUAAGCAAUUCAGUGAGACCCUGUCUCUA
This 125-nucleotide small RNA is filed under the name Marmota monax (woodchuck). The record is from RNAcentral. Lineage: Eukaryota; Metazoa; Chordata; Mammalia; Rodentia; Sciuridae.